GUGCCAGCAGCCGCGGUAAGACAGAGGGUGCAAACGUUGUUCGGAAUUACUGGGCGUAAAGCGCGUGUAGGCGGCAAGGCAAGUCGGAUGUGAAAGCCCACGGCUCAACCGUGGAAGUGCACCCGAAACUGCCUAGCUAGAGUCUCGGAGAGGAAGGUGGAAUGCUUGGUGUAGAGGUGAAAUUCGUAGAUAUCAAGCGGAACACCGGUGGCGAAGGCGGCCUUCUGGACGAUGACUGACGCUGAGACGCGAAAGCGUGGGGAGCAAACAGGAUUAGAAACCCGCGUAGUCC
This 292-nucleotide ribosomal RNA is filed under the name uncultured bacterium. RNAcentral describes it as "partial 16S ribosomal RNA". It matches the Rfam family "Bacterial small subunit ribosomal RNA", at positions 505 to 796 of the family's 1533-position model. The record is from RNAcentral.